UAUGGAAUUUUUGCUGUAACCGCCUGGACGAAGAUGACAGGGCUAACCGGCUAACAAAGAUGCAUUCAAGUUGAAGAUUCAGAGUUGCAAGGCAGGCACAGUUAACAAGGAUAAGAAAUUGUAGAAGAUUUAUCAAAUCAGACAUGGGCUUGGUUAUGCACUGAAUCAUUGUGGGGGAUCUGAGUUUUGCUUUGUGGUGAAAGGAGGAUAGAGAUACUCAACAGGGGCCGCCCUCUUCCUCGU
Triticum aestivum (bread wheat) is the source of this 243-nucleotide long non-coding RNA. RefSeq lists it as uncharacterized. The record is from RefSeq and is a predicted model, not a curated record. The transcript has 3 exons. NCBI's taxonomy places the organism in Eukaryota, Viridiplantae, Streptophyta, Magnoliopsida, Poales, Poaceae.